UGAGGAAUAUUGGUCAAUGGGCGAGAGCCUGAACCAGCCAAGUAGCGUGCAGGAAGACGGCCCUAUGGGUUGUAAACUGCUUUUAUGCGGGGAUAAAGUGAGGGACGUGUCCUUCAUUGCAGGUACCGCAUGAAUAAGGACCGGCUAAUUCCGUGCCAGCAGCCGCGGUAAUACGGAAGGUCCGGGCGUUAUCCGGAUUUAUUGGGUUUAAAGGGAGCGUAGGCCGUGGAUUAAGCGUGUUGUGAAAUGCAGGUGCUCAACGUCUGCACUGCAGCGCGAACUGGUUCACUUGAGUGUGCACAACGCAGGCGGAAUUCGUCGUGUAGCGGUGAAAUGCUUAGAUAUGACGAAGAACUCCGAUUGCGAAGGCAGCUUGCGGGAGCACAGCUGACGCUGAAGCUCGAAAGUGCGGGUAUCGAACAGGAUUAGAUACCCUGGUAGUCCGCACGGUAAACGAUGGAUGCCCGUUGUCAGGCUGUUUCAGCCUGGUGACCAAGCGAAAGCAUUAAGCAUCCCACCUGGGGAGUACGCCGGCAACGGUG
RNAcentral lists this ribosomal RNA (542 nucleotides) under uncultured bacterium. RNAcentral's name for it is "bacterial SSU rRNA". It matches the Rfam family "Bacterial small subunit ribosomal RNA", at positions 355 to 896 of the family's 1533-position model. The record is from RNAcentral.